AACCCUCAACAGUUGGCACUUGAAGCGGAACUUUUCGAACACAAUAGACUUUUGUGACCGGCGCGUGAAAAUAAAAACAAACACGGUCAGCCAUAUCCUAUCGUUGUUGGAUAAGGAUACCGUGGGGGAUUUUUAACAACAAAGCCAAACAUCACACCCACCACUUUAACUCCCUUGGACAAACACUCACCGAAAAAGGCGCGGCGGCGGCUCCACUUCUCACCUCAACAAUCUUUCAACACUCGAAAGAUGGUUAAUAUUACGUGGAUUGAUUUUCGCAAGAGUUGCCAAAACCGAAUUUGGGCACGCCCGGUAAUUUAUCCGAAAAUUACUUUACGAAAACCAUAUGUUGGACGAGAGAAACGAUAACGAUGUUUAACGGAGGGGAAUUGCCACGUUGUGCGUAGAAUGUUCCAUUUUUGUGGUACUUUAGGCUAUUGUACUCGCCCUCGAACUGUUAUUCAACGUUACGCAAUAGUUAUUCAGAUUUGUACAUUUAGGUCGUGUGAUUUAUAGCUUCUGGUUUACAGGUAAUUUUCUUUUUCAAGGUAGAGGUUCACAACGGACGAUAAUCAUAUAUAUUUAUUAAACGACGAAAAACUGCAAACAGUUUCUUUUUAUUUA
Onthophagus taurus is the source of this 624-nucleotide long non-coding RNA. RefSeq lists it as uncharacterized. NCBI's taxonomy places the organism in Eukaryota, Metazoa, Arthropoda, Insecta, Coleoptera, Scarabaeidae. The record is from RefSeq and is a predicted model, not a curated record.